RNAcentral lists this long non-coding RNA (3247 nucleotides) under Daucus carota (carrot). RNAcentral describes it as "long non-coding RNA (DCAR_LNC001005)". Lineage: Eukaryota; Viridiplantae; Streptophyta; Magnoliopsida; Apiales; Apiaceae. The record is from RNAcentral.
UCGACCACUGGAUCCUCAACUCUGUCUCCUCGCCUAGCAUUAGCCUUACUCACAAUCUCAAUCAAUCAUCUCAUCUUUAAGCCUUUCUGAAAUGGUUAGAAAGGAAUAGCAAGGGUGAGCAACAAUGCUCAGCAAGUAAUAAUAAACAAUGAUAGUUCUGAAAUGAUAUAAUAGAAGUUCACGAGUUCAAGAUAUAAGAGGAUUCAACCUGAGUUCAUGAGUUGAUGGUAUUGUAUAGAAUGAUUCACAAUACCUUGCAGCAUUUAAACUGAGAAAUUCAAUCUUUCCAAAGAAUUAUUGAAUUGGACUAUCACAUUUUAAUUAAAACCAAGGUUAGGCAGCUGAUCAGUUCCGCACUAACCCCGAGCAGGCCCCGCCAUGCUCUAUUACUGGAUCCAAGGCACUCAUUGGCCUAACAUGACCACGAAUCUGGUCCACAGGUUUAUAUAAAAACAAUAAUCCAAUUCUCUAAUUCAAUUCAAGAAGCCAAUGUAAAUUAACAGAACAUCAUCAUAAAUAUCAUCAACAACGGAAUAAUUCCAAAUCAAACUUUGAUAAUAAACUUUCCAUGAGUCACCGUCCAUCCAUCCAUAAAUCAGAGUUCAGGAAAUCCCUAACUAUUCAAUAUCCUCCAUUAUCGGCUAAUCAACUGAAUUUAGCCUGCUAGACCAGCAUGACAAUGGCGGGUUGAAUAAUCAAGAAGAUCCCAAUUCAUUCAAAGCUCUAACUAUCACUGAGCAACACAUGCUUCAAUGACAAUCUGAACUUCGAAUUAAUUUGUAAAACGGAAAUUAUCUGAAUUUUUGAGGAUUAGAAAAGGAUGGAUAAAAAUAUUUGCACUUGCCAAAUAUGAAAAAGAGAGGAACGAAUAUUUGCAACACAUACGAAAAGAAUGGAUCAGAAUAAUCGCAAGAUAUCCAAAAGAAGGGUAUAGGAUACUUGCCUUAAAUCUGACUCCAGUCUCACAUCUCAAUCUCAUCUUUCCACUUUCACAAUCUAUGCAUCUCAUAGUCUCUAGACCAUCUCUGGCUAUACUCUAUCUACCGUACAUCUUCGCUUCGCUUACUCGAUUCAUCCCUUAUUCGCUUUGUAACACCACGUGACUUUCUGAACGUCUUCGGGCAUACACGUCUCGUCCAAAUCCUUUACGAGAAUAAGAUAACACUAUAAUCACUAAACAAUCGAUCGCAUAUACAUCUCACGUAUAUCGAUACCCACUUAUAUAUCCCUUUAAACUUAUCAGAUACCACGUAACACAUAAGCAUGCUUUAACUCUAACAUAUAGUCAAUCAUAUUCCACAUAACAUAUCACCAAUCAAUUAUCAUAUAAAUCCUUAUCGAAAAUCCGACAUCGUCUCGUCUAUGUAUAAGACUAUCCACCUAUUAUCCUAUCUCAAUCAUUAAUCAACCAACAAAAUCCAAUAGCUAUAAUCCAUAUAUUCUUAUCCAAUAUCAAUCAUACGAAUCAUUUAUCACUUCACAAUAUCAAAACUAACACGUACUUCACAUAAUCAUCACUUGAUAGCACUUAGAUCACAUAUUAUCACAUUAUGCAUACUUAUCAACAAUUAUUCACCUUAUAGACUCAGCCAUAUAGUCACAUCAUAUUAAAAUAGACGUUAUAAGCUUCUGUCUCUCUUUCGUUUCACUUGAUUCCGACUUACGGAUCAAAAGUUAUGCUCAAAACAGUUUUCUCACUCUCCUAUCGGCACAUAACACAUCCAACCAAUAGCAGACAACACACAACACAUAAGGUUUCCCAUCCCAAUUGAUAUUAAAUCAAGUCUUGGGUUAAAAAUGAUUUUUCGGGAAUUUUCCAGAAUUUUUAAACAUUUUUCGGAAUUAAAAUCGAUAAAAGAAUCACUUUUCGAAUAAAUAAUCAAGUCCCAAAUACUUGAAAUUGGACUUGAAAUCAUUCAUAAACAAUUAUCGAGCCUUGAAAAUAAUUUGGAAAAAUAUUUUAAAGCUCGAAACUAUUUUUCGGAAUUUUUAAAUCAAAAAGGAUAAUUAAAUCCAAUUAAUUAAUCAAUUAAAAUCAAUUAAUAAUUAAUUAAAAUAAUUAAUCAAUUAAUAUUUAAAUUAAUUGACCAAUUAAAAUAAUUAAUUACUAAUUAAAAUUAAUUAAUAAAUCAAAUUAGAUUUAUUUUUCAAUAAAGAGAUAAUUAAAAAGCAUUUUUGAAUUUAAAAUCAAUAAUUUUCGAAUUUAAAAUAAAUAAAUAAAAUGUUUUUGAAAAGAUUUAAAACUCCAGGGUUCACUGUGCAAACUUUAUGAAACCUGGGGGGUCAAACAGCAAAAUGCCGUCUUCCUCCCCCCCGUCUCGCCGGAACGGCGUCGGAAACCGACCGGCGAGUCACAGACUGCCCAGACGGCACCCAAACACUGCAGAUACACUCUACGCUUUCCCAUAAACAUAUUUACAAGCUUCGUUUUUGCAGGAGAUUAGCGAACUGGCCGGAAAAUCGACCGAAAGCUUCGCCGGCGGCGAGCUUUCGUCGACUCCGAGGGCCUCAUACACGGCUCCUCCGUCAAUUCCAAACCCAGUCGUACACUCCUCUUCUCAUCCUCUAUCCAUUCAUGUAACCCACUACUGCCCAGACUCCCUGGAUCAAUUUUCCGGUCAAAACUCAUAACUUUCCGGCCAAAUACUCAAGAACACCAAGAACACUCAAACCCACGAAUCAAACUGACUUUUCAAGGUGUUAUUGAACUCAAAAAUUGACAUAUAAUAUACCAAAACGACGAGAAAAACAUGCUCUACAUCAUAGAAUCAUCAAAACAAUCAAACAACCACGUUUGCAAAAAUUCACUAUUUAAAACAUAAUACUUCGAAUUUUAAACCUUCAAUUACUCCCUACCUGUGAAUCUCAUGUUGUUUUUGAUCAUUGAUAUGGAUUCUACUCCUCGAUAUCUUCGAUUUGACUAUUCGCACGCUUAAUUCUGACUCCAAUAACACCUUCAAAUCUUCGUUUGAUUAUGAAGAACACGAAGAACACUGCUCGGUUUCUCUCGGUAUUCGUGCAGAGAAACUGGUGAAAAUGAUUUACGGUUGAAAAUAAGCUCUAGAAAGGUAUAUUUAUAUUUACAAAUAAUUGGUACCCCUUUGGAUCGUUUAUGACAUGAAAAUACGUAUUUAAUAGCUUUAUAUUAAGAAAGUGGGGUCCAAUCGGUACUAGUUUUCGAGAUAAUCAUCAAAACGGGGCUUUUUAACUCAAUUAUUGGUCUGCGGGUCCCACUGCAAUUAUUACA